UAGGGAAACUCGAUGAGUUGGAGGCCCCAACUCGUCGAGUAGGGACUGAGAUGGCCGCACGAACUUUAGAACCAACUCGACGAUGUAACACCAGGUUUCCCAGGUAUAUUGGUUUAUGUUGUAUUUCUUUAAUUAUGUAAGGCGACUCGACGAGUUAGUGCUUCGACUCGUCGAGUCUGGUCGCGACUGGAUGACGUGGUUAAUGAGAUGACUCGACGAGUCAAGGGAGUGACUCGUCAAGUCAGAGCUGAUGAAAGAAACCCUAAUUUCUUGGGUUGGGACCUAUUUAAAGGCCCUUAUGGCCUUCAUUUGCGGCUACCAGUCCAUAGAGAGAAACCCUAGAGUGCUUGAGCGUUUUGAGAGAGAAGGGAAACCAUUCUUGUCCUUUGUGGUGUUGUUUAGCAAGAAGAACGAGGUCCUAGCCAAGAGGAAGCAAAGGAGGUUGCUAUUAUCUGGAUUUGAAGCUAAGAUCAUCGCUUUUGAGGUAUUAAUUCGGCUCUUCUUCUGUUUUAUGAAGAAUAUAUGGAUUUAGGGUAUCUUGUGCCCUUUACUAGGUUGAUUUGAUGUCCAAAUAGUCCCUUUCUGGUGAUGAAGCUUUGGAUCUGGAUCCAUAGAGGUCCAGAGAGCCUUAUUCAUCAAGCUUUAUGAAGAGCAAUGGAGGUUAUGACCUUGGGUUAAGGUAUUUGGGGCUAAAUCAUCAUAUAUGGUCAUAUAGAUGUUGCAUGUGCAUCAAGAUAGAGACUUUACGUGAUUAUUGAACUUGGGAAGGUUAGAUCUAAGGGUUAGAGGAAUAGAUCUUGCCUUAGAAGGUUUCUUGAGGUUGUGCAUGAAAUGAACUCGGUGAGUCCAUGAGCGGACUCGACGAGUCGGAGCAGGUUGUCCCGUGACUCAAAUAUGUGGAUGACUCGCCGAGUUGGGUGAGUGACUUGGUGAGUCAGAAAAGAUUCAAAGGACUAGAGUUCAUGUAUGGACUCGACGAGUCGGGUCAAAGGUUAACCGUUGACCAGCGUUGACAAGGGUUGACUAGUGUUGACUUAAUAGUGUUAGUCAAACUAUGCCAGAAAAAUAUUAAUUAGAGAUGUAUUCAUGAUAUAGGAGGACGAUAGGUCGGGGAAUCGAGCACGAGUGAUUAUCCGACAUCCAGCAAGGUGAGUCUUCUCACUAUACUUUACCGUGAGUGGUAAUUAGAGUUAUGUGACAAAGUUAUUGUAUGUUAUUUAUGUGAUGUGUUGCAUUGCAUUAUUUCUAUGUGAUUUAUGUUGUGUGUAUAUCAAUGUAUAUCAGAGUUAGAACCCGAAGGUUCACAGAGCUAGGACCAGAGGGUCCACAGAGUUAGGGCCCAAGGGCCCAUAGAUUUAUAGCCUCGAGUGGCUAGUAUGUGUUAUGUGUGGUAUUUUGGGGAACUCACUAAGCUUCGUGCUUACAGUGUUUUGUGUUACGCGUUUCAGGUACUAGUGAGGAUCAUAGAAAGGUGCCAACAAGAUCAGUACACACACACACACAGAGUUUUAUACAUGAUAUGAUCUUGGGAUUUUGACUUAUGUUUGGAUAUGUGGAACAAUGAGUUUUAUGAUACUGUGAAAUAAAGUGUUUUUUUAAUUGUGAAAAUUUGUUUGAAAUUUUACGACGUUACAAGUUGGUAUCAGAGCCUUGGUUUGAGGGACUCGGAUGCACCUUCGGGCGUAUCUGAACUCAAACUGAGGAUUUGAGGAAAUUUUUUGAUAAUAAAGUAAUUAUCAAAGAGUAAAAGAGUUUUGAAACAAACAGAGCAGAGCCGUGUGUACGAUCAGCCAAAGCCCGAACGGUGAUUUCCCAAAAUACCCUUACAAUAAGUGUUAUGAGAUAUGUUAUGCUAUGAUGUAUGAUGAGUUAUAUUAUGCAUGCUAGAUUAGACUAGGUAUUCUUAUUAGGACUAGAGUGGCCUGAUUUGUGAUGCCUUAGUCUAGGAGUUUUGCUGCUAGGGAUGCUUGGGAGUGAUUAGGUAGCAGCGAAGAGCUUAUGAGGGAUCUGCUAGUGAGUAGCAUAUGAUUAGAGAGAGUAGAGUACUUGGGACUUGGUACCCUAGGAGGAGGACUUGGGGUGGAUGCUGAUGCGGUGUAGGCAGUAGUAUUAGGCCCGUACUACUGAAGUCAUCGGAUCAGUGCACAGCCCAAGUAAGAAUCCUUGGAGUACUAAGGAACAAGUAGGGUGGAGUUAUCGAGUGCGAGUAUACUCGAGCGAGUCCCUGACAUUCCUUAUGUUGUAUUUCAAAGACAUCAUGGUUGGGACACGCCACACACCAGAGAGCAACGGUACUAGUGAUGAGGAGAUAUGUAUGAUCAUUCAUGAGGAGGUGGCUGCAGCCAUCAGGGCAGAGAUACUAGAGAUGUUUGGGUCUAUCAUGACCAUGCUGAUAGAGACUUUCGAUGAGCGAUAUGUUGCUCUUUCUGAUGCAGUUGUUGCUGCGGAUACUGUAGUUGUAGCUGCGGCUAGACCGCAGGGUGGUGAUGCGUUGCUGUUCCGGGAGUUCAGCAACACAAAACCACCAGAGUUUGAUGGGACGCAGGAUCCGGUUGCAGCAAUGAGGUGGAUUUCAGACAUCGAGGGGUGUUUCUUUACGUGCUCUUUUCCAGAGCAUUUGAGGGUUCGGUUCGCGCUGAACCAGCUUCGCUUGGGAGCGAAGGACUGGUGGAAGUUUGUUACGGCGCACCAUUCACCUGCUGAGCUUGCUGCAGUGACCUGGUAGAGGUUCACUGCUAUGUUCCAAGAUGAGUACGUUCCCCAGGUGGAGAGGAAGCGUUUGGCACAGGAGUUUCUGACCCUCAAGUAGGGUACUGAGUAUGUUACAGUGAUUACAAGGAUGCUCCAUGAGCGGGCGAUGUUCUGCCCAGAGCACAUGUCCUCCAAGCAGGCACGUAUGAGCCGAUAUCUGAGCAUUUUGAGGAGGGAUAUACGAGAGUUCACGGCGAACUCGUCGUACCGGACAUUUGCCGAGCUUCAGGAAAAUGCUCGGAAAAGGGAGACAGAGCUGGAGACUCAGGCUAGGGAGGAGGUGGAGUCUCAGGGGAGGGAUCGGCAACCGGCACGGUCUCAGCCGGCAGCCAAGCGGGCCAAGCCCACUGAUCCCAGAUCAGGGAACCAGAAGGGUCGCACUUGUGGCAAGUGUCAUGAUGGGGUAUGCAGAGCGGGGUCUUGCAACAAGUGUGGCAAUGAGGGGCAUAUGGCCAAGGAUUGCCCCAAGGGGUUCACAGUCUAUUUCCACUGCAACCGGACCGGACACCGGAAGGCAGAGUGUCCGCAGCUGCGGGGAUCAGCACAGGGAGCAUGUUAGGGAUCUGCCCCUGCUACUAUCAGAGCUAUCGAGAGCCGGCCAGUAAAGGCCGAGGUACCGAAGGAACAAGGGAGAGCCUUCCAGUUGACCGCGGAGGAGGUCCGCGCAGCACCCGAUGUCGCGGCUGGUAUGUAUUCUUUCAUGUAUUUAUUUUGAUGAUUGAGAUAUUGUGAUUAUAUUAUGUUAUGUGUAGGUACUUUUCUUGUGAGUUCUGUACCUGCCUUGGUGUUAUUUGACUCGAGUGCGAGUCGGUCUUUUGUAUCCUUGGCUUUUAGUCAGCACAUCAGUAUUAGUCGAGAGGUGUUGAGUCGACCUCUAAGAGUUUCCAUAGCUGACGAGAGGGUGGUGUAUGCCACAGAGGUGAUCCAAGAGUGUGUGUAACAUCCCAAAAUUCAAGCCCAAAAAUUUCAUUUUUGAUUAAUUAAUUCAUAAACAUUCAUUAGAAAGUAUUGUAUAAGCAUGGCAUCUCAAAACCAUGUAUCAUAUUUGAAACCCACAACCAUGAACAAAUGUCAUAUCAGAGUACAAUCCCAGAAAACACCAUGCGGAAAAAUCAUAUGGAUGUGUGUGAUGCCAUGCUACGCCACCGGCUCCUUCCCCUUCGAUGAAGAGGUACCUAAAACCAAAAACUGAAACCGUAAGCACAAAGCUUAGCGAGUUCCCCCAUCAUACCACAUACCAAACAAUACCAUCGGUAUCUUUCAACCGGUAAUCAUCAUCGGUAUCUUUCAAUCGGUAACCAUCAUCGGUAUCUUUCUACCGGUAACUGGGGACUAUUCCACCCCUUACCACUAGCAUACGAUAGCAAGAUAAAAACACUCAUUCAGACAUAUCCGGUUACUGACCUAUCCCUUGGUCCUACGGACCACUAUCAGGGAAACUGUCCCUAUCAUGUAACAUAUCAUGCAAAUAUAACUCAUAACCAAACGCAUACCAGACCAAGAUAAUUUAUCACAAUGAAAAUUAUCUCCUAAAUACUCCUCAAUGGUGGGCCGGCAUUGUGGCCUUAGACCCACCCCUACUGGUAGGUAACUCACCUCGUAUCUGCUGAACUGUGCAGGAAUCCUCUGACUGCUGCCACUGCUGCUCCGGAAAUCCACCAGCUAAAAUUCCCACAAAACACUUAGUCAGAAACUGACAUCUACCCUUAGGGUAAAAUGACCAUUUUACCCCUUGAACAAAUCAAAGUCAAAGUCAAAGUCAACUUCCAGUUGACCUGACUCGCCGAGUUGACUCGUCAACUCGCCGAGUCCCUACCCUUCCAUCAGACCUCAUACCCGUCUCUACUCGUCGAGUUAGGCGAUGACUCGACGAGUUUUCCUUCUAAAUGAACACCGACUGAAUCAACCUCCGACUCUGUAACACUCGUGUUUCUAGCCUAGGCAUUUAUAUUGAGUUGAUAGUCUAGGUUAACCUUUGUAACUCAUUUUGAAUAAAUGAAAAGGAAUUAUGUGAAUAUUAUGUGAAUUAUGUGUUUUCUGCUUAAUUAUUAGGGCUUAAUUAAUUAAGAAUAGAAAUAAGCAUCAAAAUUAAAGUGUGAGAUAAUCCCGAUAUCUUUACAUAAAGUUUUAGUAGUCGAAACAAGGAUUUCGGGGAUAUAAAGAAUACCAAAAUCCGAGUUAUAACGAAAAAGUUAUGACCUGUCGAAGUUUCGCGACAAAACCGGCACGGCGCUGAAUGUCGUAAAAAGUGAGUUUGUGAUAAACUACUUUUUAGCCUUACUAAUCUAAACAAAAGUCGUAGUAUUCAUUAAAACGAGAAGUUCGAUAAAAAGAACGUCCAAAUCUGACUUCGUAUGAGGAAGAUAUGAUUUUUCGAAGUUUCAGCUUAGCAGUAAACAACUAAAAACUCGAAUUUUAGAUCGAGCGAUUUUAGCCGACACAACCUAAACGAGAAUUGAAGGUCUCGUCAUUAGUAGCACAACGGUAAAAAGUCUGACGAAAACGGACGUCGGAUGAAGAAAUUAUGAAUUUUUAACGGAUUUCUUGUCCCGGUCUGUUAAAAAUAAUAAUAAAAAAAUUAAAUUCAAAAUUAGCCGACAAAGUCUAAACGGAAGUCGUAGAGCGUAAUUUUAGCUACGCGUGCAUGUAAAGAACAUCAAAAACAGAGCUCGUAUGCGAAAGUUAUGGAUUUUAGAUGGUUUGGCGCGAAAAUCGACAAAAAUUCGCACAGUCACACUUUGCCACGUCACCCUCGCUUAGAAUGUGACACGUGCCCUGUUAAGUCACCGAGCUGCUGAGUCAUCCGAAGCCGUGGCACAUCCGAGGAGAGACGCGUGUGCAGCCUAGUCCGAGCCUCGCAACGCCUGCCACGUGUCCGACCUUCGCACCAACUGUCUCCCUUCCCUCAUGCUUCGGGUCCGAACCUUGGACCUAGACUCCGGUCCACUUAGAAGUUGCCAGCGAGCCCCUCGCAGGUGCGACCCAUGUGCGAGCCGUGCGCAGCCCACGUGCGAGCCCUUCCCUGCAAGCCUUCGGAUCUUCGCCACCUGGAGACUUCUCAGCCGUCCGAUCAGAAGCUUCCCCCUAUAAAUAAAAGGUUGCGAGCCUUCUCGGAUAUUUUUAAGAAUUGCCAUAUUUAGCCCCUUUCUUCAUCUUUUCUUCACCUUAACCUUCCCCGAAGCCCCGGUAUUGAUUUUAAACCCAGGAAUACUCCACGAAGUGCCUGUGAAGCCCGGAAAAUUUAUCUUUUCGGUUUCGAAGCCCGACUCUUACAAAGCCCGGUUUCUCAAUAAAACUCCCGGUUUUAUUAGAAACAAUCGUUUUAGGAAACGAAUUGCUGCCCGAUUAUCAUCAAAUCAUGUGAGUGUGUAGUUACUUUCAAUUUACACAUAGAUAUGAAGUAUUUACCUUGAAAUACGUGUUAUGUGUAAAUAUGUUAAUUGUUUAUUUGAGGUGACUAUUGAAUUGAUGUUUUAUAUAAGUUUUAAAAUGUAUAUGCUUUUUAUCUACAAAAUAUGUUGGGUAGAACAUGGGUAGAUGAAAUAGUUGAUGUGUGUUAAAAAGGUGAGAGGCCUCGAUGUUGUUGUUGUUGUUGUUGUCAUCUAGAGGAGUAUAGAUGACGACCACGGACUUUUCUAGACAGUUCAGUGGAACACUAGCAGGUUCGCAACUUGUAGGUGUUGAUGAAUUAAAUGUUCAUUGGUGUACUCCAUCCCCCUCAUGGUUGCCUUUAGGACAUGUAUGGCUGAGGAAACCCCUUAGCAGUAGUGUCCAUCCCGAUGAUAAUCCUUAGGCUAGGUCCCUUGUGAUAGGUGUUUAGGGACGUAAAGUGAGGACAACGGGAAUGGGUAAUCAGGGUUAUUGUUGAUUGGUGAACUUAAUAAGUAUAUUAUUAUUGUGGGUUGAAAACCCUAUAUGCUCACCAGGCUCCCAUGCCUGACCCACUCAGUUUUAUGAUUACAGGUAGUGGACCCCGGGCAUAGUUGGAGGACGAUGAGAGAUUUUUGGAUUAUAGGCCAAUAGUUGUAUAUAACUGUUGAAAGGCUUAUAAUAUCUUGUUUAUGAUUUUGAUCUGUAUCGAAACAUGACAUCUGGAGGUUUUGAUAUGAAAUGAAACUAUACAUUUCUUAAAGAAGGUUUUGAUAAACUUAUAUCAUGUUUUGUUUUGGGAAAAAAAUUCCGCAACAUCUUUUAAAAAGAUUUCUUUGAUUUUAAUUUAAAAAGCAUAAAUUAAAUCGGUCUUUUCUGGCCGAGAAAUUAGGGGAUGUCACAGUUGGUAUCAGAGCAUUAGUUUAAGCGAACUAAGAAAUUGUAGAAUUUCUAGACUUGAACUUAGAAUGCUAAGUGAUGAUUGUGAGAUGAGUGUCUACCAUAUUUUAGACACGAGCACUAGUUUAUUUUAGGGAAGAUGCCUAAAAUGCCCUUAUGUGCUAAAUGCUAUGUGUUUGCCAUGUGUGCCAUUAUUUGUUCGGAUCUAUGGUCUGUUGCCGACCGGAUCUGGAAACCUUAUGUGUGUAGGAUUCUAAGCGUAUGAAUACGAGAUUAGAACUAACAUGUAAACGUUUCGGAGUGAUAAGGGAAUUGACAUGUCUAACAAGGAUAAAGACCUAAAUUCGCCUUAUUCGGUAUAUAGAUUGUAAUGGCAAGAACUCGGAGUGGAGCUGGAAAUGCAAACAGAAACCAACAACCUCAACCCCAAGUGGUGGAACAGGUGCCUAUAGUAGGAGCUGCACCCGAACCCAUCACCAUGGCUGGAGUACAAACUAUGAUUCAGACCAUGUUGGCUGAACAGAGAGAAGAAUUGAGGCAAAUGUUGCUGAACGACAGGGACGAACCUUCAGUUCCUGUUGAACAACGUGAACUAAAUGACGAUCGAUCUGAAGAAGGGAACAACAGUAGAUCGGUUAGUCAUAGUGAACCGCUUGUGGUUGGGAGAAAUAACCACGAGGGUAGAAUGGAGAGAAAUGGGUGCAAGUAUAAGGACUUUAUGACUUGCAAGCCAUCGACCUUCAAUGGAAAAGAAGAUCCUGUCGGAGUAAUGGACUGGAUCUCGGAAAUGGAGUUGGCUUUCAUGACUUGUGAUUGCCAAGGCAAGUUACAAACUACGUUUGCAGUACGUCAGUUCAGGGGUAGUGCUGCUCGUUGGUGGAGCACUUUGGGGAAAACCCUAAGCCCUAAUGAGCCACUGCAAUUAACUUGGGCAGAGUUCUUAGUGCACUUCAAGCGCAAGUACUGCUCGGCCCAAAACGUACUUGAGUUAGAAAACCAAUUUCUAACGUUGCAGAAGGGGAGUAUGACCGUUGACGAAUAUAGGAAUAACUUCACAGACAAAAUGGAGUUUGCUUUGCGUAUUGUCCCAGAUGAGUUGGCAAAAAUUUACAGGUACGCAAAGGGACUUCCAUGGGAGUACGCAGUGCCAGUAUGUCAGGCAGUUACUUUGGAGGUAGCUAUCUGGGCUGCCAAUUUUGUUGAAGAUAUGAUAAAAGGGAGAGCCGCCAGCAAGGUUGAAGUUGGCGAAAAGAGAAAGUUUGAAGGAACUUCAGGUUCCAAUAAAAAGAACAAAUUCUCGAAGACUGGUUCGAGAAAGUUUGGAGGAGGAAGCGAAGCCAAGUGGUGUGACAAGUGUAGGAAGAAACAUGCUGGGAAGUGCAGCGUGGAAGUCACUUGUUACAAAUGUGGAAAGCCAGGGCAUUAUGCCAAUGAAUGCACCUUCAAUAAGAACGUAUGUUUUGGGUGCAAUGAAGAAGGGCAUAUUUUGAGGGACUGCCCGAAGAAGAAGGACGCAGCAAAACCCAAUCUACCACCAAAGCCGAAGGCGAGAGCCUUUCAGAUGACACUCGAAGCUGCGAAAGAAGAAGCCGAUGUCGCUUCAGGUACCUUUCUCGUAAACGAAUUGCCUUCCCAAAAUUUGUUUGAUUCUGGAGCCAAUUACUCCUUUAUAUCACAUGAAUUUGGUAGAAAGCUAGCUUUGCCUGUAGAUAUGCUAGUUAAUGCUAUAAUAGUCGAGAUUGCUAGUGGCAAGUUUGUACCUGUUAGCCAUCGUAUGAAAAACAUCCUCAUUGACUUGGAUGGGAAUAAGUUCCAAGAGGAAUUAUUGCCUAUCGAGUUAAAUGGAUUCGACAUAGUUUUAGGAAUGGAUUGGCUUAGCGCCAAUGAUGCAGAAAUACUAUGUAGAAAGAAGAUAGUAAAAGUAAACCCGCCAGGGAAAGAGUCGUUUAUGGUGUACGGAGACAAACGCAGAGUAAACUCUGGAAUCAUUUCCCUAAUGAAAGCCAGAAAGUGUUUGGCCAAGGGAUGUACAUCAUAUCUAGCGUUCGUAAUCGAUGCUAAGAUGGAAAAGAAGGAGGUGCAAAAUAUUCUGGUGGUGCAUGAGUAUCCGGAAGUCUUUCCCGAAGAUCUUCCCGGAUUGCCCCCUGAUCGACAAGUAGAAUUUCGUAUCGACUUGUUACCAGGAACGACGCCGAUAGCGAAAGCACCUUAUCGAUUAGCGCCAACCGAAAUGAAAGAACUUAUGACACAACUUCAGGAGUUAUUGGACAAAGGUUUCAUUCGACCUAGUUCAUCACCCUGGGGAGCCCCUGUGUUAUUUGUAAAGAAGAAAGACGGAAGCAUGAGAAUGUGCAUCGAUUACAGAGAGCUGAACAAAGUGACGAUAAAGAACAAGUACCCGUUGCCAAGGAUCGAUGACUUGUUCGACCAGUUGCAGGGUUCGAGCUAUUUCUCGAAGAUCGAUCUUAGGUCGGGAUACCAUCAACUAAAGGUGAGAGAGCAGGAUAUCGAAAUGACUGCGUUUAGAACGAGAUAUGGACACUAUGAAGUUUUGGUUAUGUCAUUCGGACUAACCAAUGCCCCAGCAGCUUUCAUGGAUUUGAUGAAUAGGGUUUGUAAACCAUUCUUAGAUAAAUCCGUGAUAGUAUUCAUAGAUGAUAUCUUGAUUUAUUCGAAAAGCAAGCAGGAGCAUGAAAAGCAUCUGCGUGAAGUGCUAGAAGUCCUGAAAAAGGAGAAGCUGUAUGCAAAGUUCUCCAAGUGUGAAUUUUGGAUUCAAGAAGUCCAAUUUUUAGGUCAUGUGGUUAACCAAGAAGGGAUAAUGGUCGACCCAGCAAAGAUUGAAGCUGUAAUGAAGUGGGAACAACCAAAAAGUCCUACGGAGAUUCGAAGCUUUUUAGGAUUAGCUGGAUAUUACCGAAGGUUUAUCCAAGGCUUUUCUUCGAUUGCUACUCCAUUAACAGCUUUGACCCACAAAGGAGCCACUUAUGCUUGGAAUGAGAAGCAUAAGGAAGCCUUUGAGAAGUUGAAGAAGAGAUUGUGUGAAGCACCGAUUCUUUCAUUGCCUGAAGGAGUUGAUGACUUUGCAGUUUAUAGCGAUGCAUCCGGAGUUGGGUUAGGUUGUGUUCUGACCCAAAGGGAUAAAGUGAUCGCGUAUGCAUCGAGGCAAUUGAAGGAACAUGAAAAGAACUACCCCACUCAUGAUCUGGAGUUGGCAGCGGUAGUAUUUGCCUUGAAGAUAUGGAGGCAUUAUCUUUAUGGCACCAAGUGUAAACUUUUCACUGAUCAUAAGAGUCUCCAAUAUCUCUUUAAUCAGAAGGAAUUGAACAUGAGGCAACGACGCUGGCUAGAGUUACUCAAGGACUACGACUGUGAGAUACUUUACCACCCUGGUAAAGCAAAUGUUGUUGCCGAUGCUCUCAGUCGGAAGGUAAACCUUGAAAAGAAAAGGCCAAGAGCGUUGAGAAUUGAAGUUGUCUCGACAAUUGUGGAAAGUAUAAAGAAAGCUCAAGAGGAAGCUUUAGAGAAAAAUGACCGAAAGGAAGAACGUUUGGGCAAAACGUUAGUGUUCGGUACAAACAACCAAGGGUUGAAGGUAUUUCAAGAUAGAAUUUGGGUACCUAAGACGGGCGGAAUAAGAGAUCUUCUGAUGGAAGAAGCUCACAAGACCAUGUACUCAAUUCAUCCCGGCAGUACGAAAAUGUAUAGGGAUCUAAAACCCUAUUAUUGGUGGCCGACGAUGAAGCUCGAUGUUGCUAAGUAUGUGGCCGAGUGUGUAACUUGUGCUAGGGUUAAGGCACAACAUCAGAAACCGUAUGGGAGUUUAGAACCUUUACCCGUACCCAUGGGUAAAUGGGAAGACAUCACCAUGGAUUUUGUGACUAAACUGCCCAGAACAAGGAACGGUCACGACAUGAUUUGGGUGGUCGUUGAUCGCUUCACUAAGAGUGCGCAUUUCAUAGCGGCCAAAGAGAAAUGGUCUAUGGAUAAACUUGCGAAUUCUUACGUGAAGGAAAUUGUGAGGCUUCACGGUGUUCCGUUAACGAUUGUGUCCGAUCGUGAUAGCCGUUUUACCUCAAGGUUUUGGAGGAGUCUACAAGAGGAAUUGGGUACCAAGUUGUGUUUGAGUACAGCUUACCAUCCGCAAACCGAUGGUCAGAGCGAGCGAACGAUUCAAACAUUGGAGGAUAUGCUGAGAGCAUGUACCCUAGAAUUCCAAGGUAACUGGGAUGAACACUUACCUUUAGUAGAAUUCUCCUAUAAUAAUAGUUUCCACUCAAGCAUUAAGAUGGCACCUUAUCACGCUUUGUAUGGGGAGAAGUGUCGAACGCCAUCAUGUUGGCUGGAAGCUGGGGAAAAGCAGUUUAUGGGACCUGAAAUAGUCCAUGAGACUGCUGAAAAGUUGAAAGUGAUAAGGGAAAGGAUGUUAGCUGCUCAAGAUCGACAAAAGAGUUAUGCUGACAAGAAAAGACAACCGAUAUCCUUCGAUGUUGGAGAUUCGGUUUUACUUAAAGUCUCGCCGUGGAAGGGACUUAUAAGAUUUGGGAAACGAGGGAAGUUGAGUCCAAGGUUUAUUGGACCAUUUAAAGUUCUUCAGAGGAUCGGGAAUCAAGCUUACAAGCUAGAGUUACCGGAAGAACUAGAGGGUAUUCAUAACACCUUUCAUGUGUGUUAUUUGAGAAAAUUCACAGGAGAUGUGCCCGACAUAAUUCCGAUUUCUGAGUUAAGGUUGGAUGAAAACAAGAGGUUGAUCGAAGAACCUGAGGCAAUCGUUGACCGUAAGACUAUGAAGUUACGACGCAAGAUGGUCGAUUUAGUGCUUGUGCGCUGGAAACAUACGAAUGGACCAAAUCUCACUUGGGAAACGGAGAGUGACAUGAUGAGUCGCUACCCGCAGUUGUUUGGUGAUAUGUGAUUCCGGGGACGGAAUCAUCCUAAGGGGGAGAGAAUUGUAACACUCGUGUUUCUAGCCUAGGCAUUUAUAUUGAGUUGAUAGUCUAGGUUAACCUUUGUAACUCAUUUUGAAGAAAUGAAAAGGAGUUAUGUGAAUAUUAUGUGAAUUAUGUGUUUUAUGCUUAAUUAUUAGGGCUUAAUUAAUUAAGAAUAAAAAUAAGCGUCAAAAUUAAAGUGUGAGAUAAGCCCGAUAUCUUUACAUAAAGUUGUAGUGGUCGAAACAAGGAUUUCGGGGAUAUAAAGAAUACCAAAAUCCGAGUUAUAACGAAGAAGUUAUGACCUGUCGAAGUUUCGCGACAAAACCGGCACGGUGCUGAAUGUCGUAAAAAGUGAGUUUUUGAUAAACUACUUUUUAGCCUUAGUAAUCUAAACGAAAGUCGUAGUAUUCGUUAAACCGAGAAGUUCGAUAAAAAGAACGCCCAAAUCUGACUUCGUAUGAGGAAGAUAUGAUUUUUCGAAGUUUCAGCGUAGCAGUAGACAGCUAAAAACUCAAAUUUUAGAUCGAGUGAUUUUUAGCCACCACAACCUAAACGAGAAUUGAAGGUCUCGUCAUUAGUAGCACAACGGUAAAAAGUCUGACGAAAACGGACAUCGGAUGAAGAAGUUAUGAAUUUUUAACGGAUUUCUUGUCCCGGUCUGUUAAAAAUAAUAAUCAAAAAAUUAAAUUCAAAAUUAGCUGACAAAGUCUAAAUGGAAGUUGUAGAGCGUAAUUUUAGCUACGCGUGCAUAUAAAGAACGUCAAAAACGGAGCUCGUAUGCGAAAGUUAUGGAUUUUAGAAGUUUUGGCGCGAAAAUCGAGAAAAUUCGCAUAGUCACACUUUGCCACGUCACCCUCGCUUAGAAUGUGACACGUGUCCUGCUGAGUCAUCGAGCUGCUGAUUCAUCCGAAGCCAUGGCACAUUCGAGGAGCGACGCAUAUGCAGCCUAGUCCGAGCCUCGCAAUGCCUGCCACGUGUCCGACCUUCGCACCAACUGUCUCCCUUCCCUCCUACUUCCGGUCCGAACCUCGGACCUAGACUCCGGUCCACUUAGAAGUUGCAAACGAGCCCCUCGCAGGUGCGAGCCAUGUGCAGCCCACAUGCGAGCCCUUCCCUGCGAAGCUUCGGAUCUUCGCCACCUGGAGACUUCUCAGUCCUCCGAUCAGAAGAUUCCCCCUAUAAAUAAAAGGUUGCGAGCCUUCUCGGAUAUUUUUAAGAAUUGCCAUAUUUAGCCCCUUUCUUCAUCUUUUCUUCACCUUAACCUUCCCCGAAGCCCCGGUAUCGAUUGUAAACCCCGGAAUACUCCAUGAAGUGCCCGUGAAGCCCGGAAAAUUUAUCUUUUCGGUUUCGAAGCCCGACUUUCACAAAGCCCAGUUUCUCAAUAAAACUUCCGGUUUUAUUAGAAACGAUCGUUUUAGGAAUCGAAUUGCUGCCCGAUUAUCAUCAAAUCAUGUGAGUGUGUAGUUACUUUCAAUUUACACAUAGAUAUGAAGUAUUUACCUUGAAAUACGUGUUAUGUGUAAAUAUGUUAAUUGUUUAUUUGAGGUGACUGUUGAAUUGAUGUUUUAUAUAAGUUUUAAAAUGUAUAUGCUUUUUAUCUACAAAAUAUGUUGGGUAGAACAUGGGUAGAUGAAAUAGUUGAUGUGUGUUAAAAAUGUGAGAGGCAUCGAUGUUGUUGUUGUUGUUGUUGUUGUCAUCUAGCGGAGUAUAGAUGACGACCACGGACUUUUCUAGACAGUCCAGUGGAACACUAGCAGGUUCGCAACUUGUAGGUGUUGAUGAAUUAAAUGUUCAUUGGUGUACUCCAUCCCCCUCAUGGUUGCCUUUAGGACAUGUAUGGCUGAGGAAACCCCUUAGCAGUAGUGUCCAUCCCGAUGAUAAUCCUUAGGCUAGGUCCCUUGUGAUAGGUGUUUAGGGACGUAAAGUGAGGACAAUGGGAAUGGGUAAUCAGGGUUAUUGUUGAUUGGUGAACUUAAUAAGUAUAUUAUUAUUAUGGGUUGAAAACCCUAUAUGCUCACCAGGCUCCCAAGCCUGACCCACUCAGUUUUAUGUUUACAGGUAGUGGACCCCGAGCAUAGUUGGAGGACGAUGAGAGAUUUUUGGAUUAUAGGCCAGUAGUUGUAUAUAACUGUUGAAAGGCUUAUAAUGUCUUGUUUAUGCUUUUCAUGUGUAUCCAAACAUGACAUCUGGAGGUUUUGAUAUGAAAUGAAACUAUACAUUUCUUAAAGAAGGUUUUGAUAAACUUUUAUCAUGUUUUGUUUUGGGAACAAAUUCCGCAACAUCUUUUAAAAAGAUUUCUCGGAUUUUAAUUUAAAAAGCAUAUAUUAAAUCGGUCUUUUCUAGCCAAGAAAUUAGGGAUGUCACAGACUCGCCGAGUUGUAUGAACAACUCGUCGAGUUCAUCAUCAACUGAUACUCAUGUCCUGACUUGACUCGCCGAGUUGUAUGAACAACUCGUCGAGUUACUCUUCAUCUUAUGAACACGUUCUGUCCUCGACUCGCCGAGUUCCAUGAAGAUUGUCUUGGACACACCGAGUCCGUUCAUGCACUCUCCGAGUACCAUGAAUUCCCAUAACACUUUGCUUAGUCCUGAACGUUGGGUCACUCCCCAGGACUCCUAAAACCCUUCCACACUCAACUAGUCCUUAUGACGCUCACUGAUAUGGGACCAAAACCCUUGGACUCGCCGAGUCUAUCACAUUUGUUACUAAGAACUUCGAUUUUUGAUGUACAACACUUAACCAAAUGAUAGAUCCAGGUCCCCAAACUCGAUCUAGCACGUAAAGUUACAAACUUUACGUGCAUGCAUGGGAUAUUAGAGCUUAAAAGGCUCUAAAAUGGUUCUUUUGUUGCAUGGGGCCUUCCUUGGUGCUAAAAGCAACCUAGAUCUAACUUGUGGCUCAUAAAAGGACAUGAUACAGAAGCCCAAACCCCAACCAUGUUUACAAACAUGGUUGGCCACCAAAAAUGGCUUAUAAAAGCCCUAAAUCACCCCAAAGAGGGAUCUAACAAAUGAAUGAGCAAGGUUCAGACUUUAUACCUUCCAAAGACUGCAAAUGAUGAACCAACCUCGAAUCCUUUAGUCCCCUCUUGAUCCUUCUAUGCUCUUCCUUCUUCCUUGAGAUCAAAACUCACAAGAAUCACUCAAAAAGCCUUAGAUCUUCACAAAAACGGCUAGGGUUUGCUAUGAGGAGUGUUUGGGAGCAUAAAGGGGGAAAGGAGGCUGCAUAAGGUCGUUUAAAUAGGGCGUAAACCCCUGGAUUAGGGUUUUUGCCCAAACAGUGGCUACUCGCCGAGUCCGCAACUUAAUCCUCGCGCCUCAUCCCGCUUCUACUCGGCGAGUCAGUCCUUCGACUUGUCGAGUCCAAGGCCAAAAAUGCCAAAAAUACAUGAAGAUUUAAUAACAUAAUACAUACCAAGAACCAGGUGCUACAAUGUGGACUCGAGAUUUUCGGCGUUGAGUUCCCGAUUGAUUUAAUUCCUAUUGCGAUGGGAGAUGUCUGUGUCAUCAUGGGCAUGGACUGGUUGAGCAAAUUUGGAGCGGUUAUCGACUGCGAGCGACAGCUGGUGACCAUACGAGACCCUAGUGGGGGAGUUCUUACGGUGUACGACGAGGGGACACGUUCUGGGUCAGUAUUUUGUUCGGCCGCUAGAGCGAGGCAGAGUCUACAGCAGGGUUGUAGUGGGUUUCUGGCGUAUGUGAUGGAUAUGAUGGUUGAUUCAGGGAGGCCGAGGUCAGUUAACGAGGUUUCGAUAGUGCGAGAGUUCCCGGAUGUUUUAUUGGAGGAGUUGCCGGGCGUGCCUCCUUAGAGGCAGGUAGAGUUUCGUAUCGAUUUGGUUCCGGGGGCAGCACCUAUUGCCAAGGUGCCCUAUCGCCUUGCACCUCCAGAGAUACAGGGGUUAUCCUCACAGCUAUAGGAGCUGUUGGGGAAGGGUUUUAUUCGGCCGAGCAGUUCGCCGUGGGGAGCGCCUAUCCUCUUUGUCAAGAAAAAGGAUGGUUCACACCGGAUGUGCAUUGAUUACCGGGAGUUGAACAAGUUGUCAGUCAAGAAUCGUUACCCGUUGCCGAGGAUCGAUGAUUUGUUCGAUCAGUUACAGGGCGCAUCUUGGUUCUCCGAGAUCGAUUUGACGUCCAUAUAUCAUCAGAUGAGGGUGCGACAUAAGUAUAUCCAGAAGACAGCGUUCAGGACUCGUUACGGGCAUUACGAGUUCGUGGUGAUGCCUUUCGGGCUCACCAAUGCACCGACGGCGUUCAUGGAUCUCAUGAACAGAGUGUGCAGGCCAAUGUUGGAUCGCUCGGUGAUCGUGAUCAUCGACGAUAUUUUGGGGUAUUCGAAAUCCAGAGAGCAGCAUGAGGAGCAUUUGAAGGAGAUCCUUGGAGUUCUGAGAUCGGAGAGGCUUUAUGCCAAAUUCUCCAAGUGUGAUUUCUGGUUACGAGAGGUCCAGUUCCUAGGGCACCUCGUUAACCAGAAUGGGAUAUUGGUCGAUUCGGCCAAGAUUGAGGCAGUGAUGAGUUGGGAGGUGCCGAGAUCACCCACCGAGAUUAGGAGUUUCUUAGGGUUGGCUGGCUAUUAUCGGAGAUUUAUCAAGGAUUUCUCCAAGAUCGUCGUGCCACUUACCAGAUUGACCCGGAAGAGUGUUGUUUUUACAUGGGGCACAGAGUAGCAGGCCUCCUUCGAGACACUUCGCCAGAGACUAUGCGAAGCCCUGGUCUUAGCCCUUCCGGAGGGGAUGGAGGACUUUGUAGUGUAUUACGACGCGUCAAUAUCGGGGCUGGGAGUGGUGCUGAUGCAGAGAGGGAAUGUGAUAGCGUACGCAUCGAGGCAGCUGAAGCCUCAUGAGGCGAGGUAUCCCACCCACGAUCUAGAGCUGGCGGCAGUAGUGUUCGCCCUCAAGAUCUGGCGUCACUAUCUGUAUGGGGUUCGGUGUACCAUAUACACGGACCACAAGAGCUUGAAGUAUUUGAUGGAUUAGCCCAACCUGAACAUGCGCCAGAGGAGAUGGUUGGAUGUGGUGAAGGAUUACGAUUUUGAGAUCUUGUACCACCCGGGCAAGGAUAACGUUGUAGCCGAUGCCCUGAGUCGUAGGGCGUAGGGCGCCCCGAUACGAGACGUUUGUAUGACAAUGAAAGUGAUGACUCCGGUGUUGGACACUAUUCAUGGGGCUCAGGCUAAGGCCGCGAGGCCAUAAAACCAGAAGAGAGNGGCCGCGAGACCGGAGAACCAUAAGCGAGAGUGGGUUAUCGGUCAGGUAUUAGAGUUCGUUACCGAUAACCGAGGGCUUAUGACCUUUCAGGGUCGGAUUUGGGUACCGUUUGUGGGCGGAACGCAUACCGUCUUGAUGGAAGAGGCGCAUAGAUCGAGGUUCUCGAUCCAUCCCGGGGCCACUAAGAUGUAUUUGGAUCUGAAAAGAGAGUAUUGGUGGCCCUGUAUGAAGAGGGAUGUUGCAUGGUUCGUUGAGAGGUGAUUGACAUGUCGCAGGGUUAAGGCCGAGCACCAACGUCCGCAUGGUAAGUUACAGCCUUUGGAGAUUCGCGAAUGGAAGUGGGAACAAAUUACCAUGGACUUUAUCAACAAAUUGCCAAGUACUACGAGAGGUGUCGAUGCGAUUUGGGUGAUCGUGGACAGGUUGACAAAGAGCGCCCAUUUUCUUGCUAUCAAUAAGAGUUCUUCCGCUGAGAGGCUGGCAGAGUUGUACGUGAGAGAAGUGGUAUCGCGGCAUGGAGUACCGAUCUUGAUCGUCUCAGAUCAAGACGUGCGUUUCACUUCCAGGUUCUAGAAGAAAUUUCAUGAGGAUUUGGGUACGAGGCUGCAUUUUAGCACCGCAUACCACCCACAGACCGACGGGCAGAGCGAGCGGACGAUUCAGACGCUCGAGGACAUGCUUCGGGCAUGUGUAUUGGACUUUAGAGGGAGUUGGGACACAUAUUUACCUUUGGCUGAGUUUUCCUAUAACAACAGCCAUCAUUCGAGCAUUGGUAUGCCACCCUUUGAGUUAUUGUAUGGGAGGAGGUGCCGGACUCCCAUUUGCUGGGGUGAGGUCGGGCGGCGUGUGAUGGGUAGUACAGAGAUAAUACUUCAGACGACUGAGCAAAUACAACAGGUCAAGCAGAGGUUACUGACGGCUCAGAGUCGUCAGAAGAGCUACAUAGACAGGCGUCGCUCGGAGCUUGAGUUUCAAGUUGGUGACUUCGUACUCCUGAAGGUAUCUCCUUGGAAAUGAGUGAUCCGAUUCAGGAAGAGAGGCAAGUUGGGGCCUCGGUAUAUUGGUCCUUUUGGGGUGACUGCCAGGGUGGGCAGGGUAGCAUACCGUUUGGAGCUACCUACGGAGUUGAGUCAAAUUCUUGAUACCUUCCACGUGUCUCAGUUGAGGAAGUGUAUCGCCGAUGAGUCGGCAGUGGUUCCAUUAGAGGACAUUCAGGUGGAUGCGAGACUGAACUAUGUUGAGAGGCCGAUCGCGAUUCGGGAUAGGAGGAUCAAGGUUUUGAGAAAUAAGGAGGUGUCAUUGGUUCAAGUCCAGUGGCAACAUCGGAAGGGGUCCAAGCUGACCUGGGAGUCGGAUUUAGAGAUGCGUGAGGAGUAUCCAGAGUUAUUUGCUGAAAGAAACUUUGAGGGCGAAGUCUAAUUCUAGGGGGAGAAUUGUAACACCCAGUUUCCCAGGUAUAUUGGUUUAUGUUGUAUUUCUUUAAUUAUGUAAGGCGACUCGACGAGUUAGUGCUUCGACUCGUCGAGUCUGGUCGCGACUGGAUGACGUGGUUAAUGAGAUGACUCGACGACUCAAUGGAGUGACUCGUCAAGUCAGAGCUGAUGAAAGAAACCCUAAUUUCUUGGGUUGGGACCUAUUCAAAGGCCCUUAUGGCCUUCAUUUGCGGCUACCAGUCCCUUGGGAGAAACCCUAGAGUGCUUGAGCGUUUUGAGAGAGAAGGGAAACCAUUCUUGUCCUUUGUGGUGUUGUUUAGCAAGAAGAACGAGGUCCUAGCCAAGAGGAAGCAAAGGAGGUUGCUAUUCUAUGGAUUUGAUGCUAAGAUCAUCACUUUUGAGGUAUUAAUUCGGCUCUUCUUCUGUUUUAUGAAGAAUAUAUGGAUUUAGGGUAUCUUGUGCCCUUUGCUAGGUUGAUUUGAUGUCCAAAAAGUCCCUUUCUGGUGAUGAGGCUUUGGAUCUGGAUCCAUAGAGGUCUAGAGAGCCUUACUCAUCAAGCUUUAUGAAGAGCAAUGGAGGUGAUGACCUUGGGUUAAGGUAUUUGGGGCUAAAUCAUCAUAUAUGGUCAUAUAGAUGUUGCAUGUGCAUCAAGAUAGAGACUUUACGUGAUUAUUGAGCUUGGGAAGGUUAGAUCUAAGGGUUAGAGGAAUAGAUCUGGCCUCAGAAGGUUGUUUGAGGUUGUGCAUGAAAUGAACUCACCGAGUCCAUGAGCGAACUCAACGAGUCGGAGCGGGUUGUCCCGUGACUCAGAUAUGUGGAUGACUCGCCGAGUUGGGUGAGUGACUCGAUGAGUCAGAAAAGAUUCAAAGCACUAGAGUUCACGUAUGGACUCGACGAGUCUAUGCGUGACUCGACGAGUCAGGUCAAAGGUUGACCGUUGACCAGCGUUGACCAGGGUUGACUAGUGUUGACUUAAUA
RNAcentral lists this long non-coding RNA (19563 nucleotides) under Lactuca sativa (garden lettuce). Its description in RNAcentral is "long non-coding RNA (LSAT_LNC006917)". The record is from RNAcentral. Lineage: Eukaryota; Viridiplantae; Streptophyta; Magnoliopsida; Asterales; Asteraceae.